Molecule: ribosomal RNA, 439 nt
Filed under: uncultured bacterium
Lineage: Bacteria
Description: partial 16S ribosomal RNA
Rfam family: Bacterial small subunit ribosomal RNA
Source: RNAcentral
CCUACGGGAGGCAGCAGUAGGGAAUCUUUCACAAUGGGCGAAAGCCUGAUGGAGCAACGCCGCGUGCAGGAUGAAGGCCUUCGGGUUGUAAACUGCUUUUAUAAGCGAGAAAUAUGAUGGUAACUUAUGAAUAAGGAUCGGCUAACUACGUGCCAGCAGCCGCGGUCAUACGUAGGAUCCGAGCAUUAUCCGGAGUGACUGGGUGUAAAGGGAGCGUAGGCGGGCGAGAAAGUUGAAUGUUAAAUCUACCGGCUUAACUGGUAGCUGCGUUCAAAACUUCUUGUCUUGAGUGAAGUAGAGGCAGGCGGAAUUCCUAGUGUAGCGGUGAAAUGCGUAGAUAUUAGGAGGAACACCAGUGGCGAAGGCGGCCUGCUGGGCUUUAACUGACGCUGAGGCUCGAAAGCGUGGGGAGCAAACAGGAUUAGAUACCCGAGUAGUC